GAUGAACGCUGGCGGCGUGCCUAAUACAUGCAAGUCGAGCGAACAGACGAGGAGCUUGCUCCUCUGACGUUAGCGGCGGACGGGUGAGUAACACGUGGAUAACCUACCUAUAAGACUGGGAUAACUUCGGGAAACCGGAGCUAAUACCGGAUAACAUGCUGAACCGCAUGGUUCAACAGUGAAAGACGGUCUUGCUGUCACUUAUAGAUGGAUCCGCGCCGCAUUAGCUAGUUGGUAAGGUAACAGCUUACCAAGGCAACGAUGCGUAGCCGACCUGAGAGGGUGAUCGGCCACACUGGAGCUGAGACGCGGUCCAGACUCCUAAGGGAGGCAGCAGUAGGGAAUCGUCCGCAAUGGGCGAAAGCCUGACGGAGCAACGCCGCGUGAGUGAAGAAGGUCUUCGGAUCGUAAAACUCUGUUAUUAGGGAAGAACAAAUGUGUAAGUAACUAUGCACGUCUUGACGGUACCUAAUCAGAAAGCCACGGCUAACUACGUG
Molecule: ribosomal RNA, 497 nt
Filed under: uncultured bacterium
Lineage: Bacteria
Description: partial 16S ribosomal RNA
Rfam family: Bacterial small subunit ribosomal RNA
Source: RNAcentral